Molecule: transfer RNA, 74 nt
Filed under: Triticum urartu
Lineage: Eukaryota; Viridiplantae; Streptophyta; Magnoliopsida; Poales; Poaceae
Rfam family: tRNA
About the family: Transfer RNA (tRNA) molecules are approximately 80 nucleotides in length. Their secondary structure includes four short double-helical elements and three loops (D, anti-codon, and T loops). Further hydrogen bonds mediate the characteristic L-shaped molecular structure. tRNAs have two regions of fundamental functional importance: the anti-codon, which is responsible for specific mRNA codon recognition, and the 3' end, to which the tRNAs corresponding amino acid is attached (by aminoacyl-tRNA synthetases). tRNAs cope with the degeneracy of the genetic code in two manners: having more than one tRNA (with a specific anti-codon) for a particular amino acid; and 'wobble' base-pairing, i.e. permitting non-standard base-pairing at the 3rd anti-codon position.
Source: Rfam by way of RNAcentral
AGCGGGGUAGAGGAAUUGGUCAGCUCAUCAGGCUCAUGACCUGAGGACUGUAGGUUCGGAUCCUGUCCUCACCU